UGUGGGGCCCCGCCCAGUUUCUUGGCACAUCCUGACAACACUGCCAGCAUUAUGUUCCAAGAGCUUCCAAGGAAUAUCUUUCAAAAAGGCAAAGAUACAUUUUUCACACUGGCACUUACAUCUAUUAGGUAACUAAUCAGCAAUGACGGCAGUAGGUACUGUCUCUAACUACCUACACACCAUGUCACCCCUGAAGAAAGGCAAAAGUCAGUACCAAAAAAUGUCCACUCGAAGGAAUCAAGAGGAAAAAGAAUGGGCUGGGGAAGCGAGGGGGAGCGGACAGAGAA
Molecule: long non-coding RNA, 287 nt
Filed under: Heterocephalus glaber (naked mole-rat)
Lineage: Eukaryota; Metazoa; Chordata; Mammalia; Rodentia; Bathyergidae
Description: lncRNA (ENSHGLG00000038893.1)
Source: RNAcentral